GUAAAUGCUAUGAAUGGGAAGAGUAGAUACAUUUCCCUCCGACAGAGAAGGGCGUCACUGGCUGAGAGCGUCCUCGGAACAAUGUAUUGAAGUGCGCCCUGGAGCAGGACGACAGAAAUUCAGUAUGUCGUCACGGCGGCAGUCGUUAUCGAUGCUGAGCGGGGCGGUUUGCCGCCCAAGCAGAGUGGGACCGCGGACCACCGCCUCUGUA
Molecule: non-coding RNA, 211 nt
Filed under: Anaerosporomusa subterranea
Lineage: Bacteria; Bacillati; Bacillota; Negativicutes; Acetonemataceae
Description: Anaerosporomusa subterraneum T-box sequence
Rfam family: T-box leader
About the family: Uncharged tRNA acts as the effector for transcription antitermination of genes in the T-box leader family. T-boxes are found upstream of many aminoacyl-tRNA synthetase genes and some amino acid biosynthetic genes usually in Gram-positive bacteria.
Source: RNAcentral